UAGUCAUAUGCUUGUCUCAAAGAUUAAGCCAUGCAUGUCUAAGUAUAAGCUUUUAUACGGUGAAACUGCGAAUGGCUCAUUAAAUCAGUUAUAGUUUAUUUGAUAGUACCUUACUACAUGGAUAACCGUGGUAAUUCUAGAGCUAAUACAUGCGAACAAUCCCGACUUUUCGGAAGGGAUGUAUUUAUUAGAUACAAAACCAAUCGGGUUCGCCCGUUCCUUGGUGAUUCAUAAUAACUGCUCGAAUCGUAUGGCUUUACGCCGACGAUGGUUCAUU
Molecule: ribosomal RNA, 277 nt
Filed under: uncultured eukaryote
Lineage: Eukaryota
Description: partial 18S ribosomal RNA
Rfam family: Eukaryotic small subunit ribosomal RNA
Source: RNAcentral